AUGAAACUCCCUUGGGCCAUCAUCAUCCUCAACAUACAGUGGGCCCUCUCCAUUGAGAUAACCGAACCUGGCCCGCCAGUCGGCAUCGUCCUACAAGACGUACCUGGCCUUCUGAUCACACAUUGCCGUCUUUACACCCAGAGAAUCUAUGUCCGACUAGACCCCUGGGAUGCCUAUCGCAAUCACAUCCACCUACCCCCUCGGUUAACUGAAGGCAGGCCAAGCGGGACCCAAACCCACGAGACUGUGGAACACACCCGCUCCACAGUGAUCCACGUCCUAGAACAGCUGCAGAAGUUCCUUGUCACAGAGGCAGACCUCAGCGGCAAAGGAAGACCAAAACGGUUCCUAGGAGGUCUAAUCGCAGCAGCAUCAGCUAUCGGGUCCCUCUUCUCUAUCAGCCUCUCUGCCGCAAACUCAGUUAGCCUUAGCACACUCCAGCGACACAUUACUGAGCUUGAUGAAGAGAUGCCAGAAGUUCACCAAAAGCUUAGCUUUCAACAGCAGGAGUUGCAGAAUUUAGGAAAGACAGUACAGGGUACUAUAACGACAGUAAACCUCCACUCAGCUCUCCUCAACAACACCUUGCAUGCCCUCGAAACCCUGUCAGGGAUUGUCAAAGAAGACCUUACCUACGUAGGAGUGGUGAGAGACUUGAUGCAAGAACUCAUCAGAGAAGUCAGCUCAUCAAUCAACAGCCUCAGCAGUGGUAGAAUCCCCACUUACUUAGUUAACUUAGAUUUGGUCAGAGAUAUCCUAGGAUCCGCCACCACCACAGUGGUGCAACCUUCACAGGUCCAUCUAGCCUACAACCUAGGCAGUGCUAUUCCCAUAGCUGUAGACCCCAAGAACCUGGAACUAGGCUUUAUUCUGAAUUUGCCAAUCAUAGAAACUAGGAAUAUAUAUAAGUUAAAGUCUGUGUUGAAUGUAGGAUUUUGGCAAGACAACGCUCACAUUCUACUUAAGACACCUCCAGUGCUAGCAUACCAUAGUGAAGACCCAUCUCUCUACCUCGUUCCAAACCUCAACCUCUGCACCAACACCAGGGACAUCCAAUGGGUCUGCCCAAGUAAUCCUUUCAUCAGGGACACGACCAACUCCCUAUGCGGCCUUAGGCCUGACGCCCCCGAGCAAAAGUGCCAGGGCAGCCUGUCAGACAGGGACAGAGCAGCAGAGCCUAGGGUGGAACGAGCUGGCAACCGAUGGCUACUCAGCACUUCAGCCACCGAAGCCUUGAUUGUCUAUGACCACCAUGACACAACCACUACGUUGGCCCUACCAAACCAAACCCUGUUCCUAACGGUACCUCAGGGUGCUACCGUCCAUAUUGAGGACAUCAUCCUCCAUUACCUCAGUUCAGAGAGACAUGACACUGAGAUUGAGAUCAUGGAGGUGUUCAAGGGUUACAAUAUCACGAUUGAUGACACCCUUCAGCGGCAACUCAUGCUAGAAGGGGCCAAAUUGGUAAAGUUUAACCUCAGGCAGACGGGGCUGACCACAACCUACGCGGAUCAGGUGACUCGCCCGGUAACCUACAGCGAACACCCAAUCAGCAUGGUCGCGUUGGGACUCCUUCUUAGUGGUUGGGUCAUUACAGCAAUGGUAGCAUACGGAAUGUACAAAUAUAUCAAGGAAUUACAAGCUAGGUUAGAUUCUGCCCUGGUAGUGCCAGUACGCUUUCCCCCACAGCUUAACGCACCUACAUUCAACUUAGCCGCCAGGACCUAA
RNAcentral lists this long non-coding RNA (1728 nucleotides) under Betta splendens (Siamese fighting fish). Its description in RNAcentral is "lncRNA (ENSBSLG00000012585.1)". The record is from RNAcentral. Lineage: Eukaryota; Metazoa; Chordata; Actinopteri; Anabantiformes; Osphronemidae.